RNAcentral lists this non-coding RNA (176 nucleotides) under Tindallia magadiensis. RNAcentral describes it as "6S / SsrS RNA". It matches the Rfam family "6S / SsrS RNA". From Rfam's summary of the family: E. coli 6S RNA was the first non coding RNA to be sequenced, but its function was unknown until recently. It consists of 184 nucleotides that fold into an extended hairpin structure with a large single-stranded internal bulge. The 6S RNA specifically associates with RNA polymerase holoenzyme containing the sigma70 specificity factor. Lineage: Bacteria; Bacillati; Bacillota; Clostridia; Peptostreptococcales; Tindalliaceae. RNAcentral also lists the same sequence under 1 other name. The record is from RNAcentral.
GAUAGCCUGCUGUGUGCGUAGCUUCGGCUUAGUUUUGAGCCAACACUAAUACAUCGGGAACUUGGCGUUCUGUGGUGGAAUAUAUGCCUCAACAGAGGACUUAAGAAACUUCAGACAGAGUACCCACCUGCGAAAGCAGGGUCAAAACGGUCGACAUACGGCAUGGCGGGUGAUAU